Hordeum vulgare subsp. vulgare (domesticated barley) is the source of this 603-nucleotide long non-coding RNA. RefSeq lists it as uncharacterized. The record is from RefSeq and is a predicted model, not a curated record. The transcript has 2 exons. NCBI's taxonomy places the organism in Eukaryota, Viridiplantae, Streptophyta, Magnoliopsida, Poales, Poaceae.
CUUCACGGAUGGAACCCGUGUGCUUAACAUAGUGACGAACAAUAGGUGGAAUGCCAUUCAUCAAGUCUGUGCAAAAGAUGCAUAUCCCAGUGGCUAAUAGGAACAACCAGGUCGGAGUACCUGAGAUGGCUGGAGUGAGAGCACCAUCGCCCAUCACCAUGGAAGUCGCGAUCAGCACGACGUAGGUGAUGACUGACUGUGCUGUUGUGCUUCUUUCCAAGAACUCACGCAUCUUAGACGGCAGUUUCUUCUUCUUGCUGUGGAACUUGAGAUUAAUGUCGGAUGCCAGCCGUGUGACUGGCAUCGGCAUGCUUCCGCUAAAAUUCACAUGCUGGCGCAGGAGCGAGUAGAGGGCAAAAGUACCACCUGCACGAAGUAAGCGUGUGUUUGUAAGUAAGCUUCGAAAUCCUAUCGCUACAGGUCCAGAGAUUUUUUGGCACGCAAAAGAUUAUCGAAUCCGAACAAUCAAGUACCCCCUGUUUAGAUAGUGAUCUAAACGCGCUUAUAUUUUUUUACGGAGGGAGUACCUUCUUAAGAUAUUUGUGCUUGUGAUAUACCGUGGGUACAGAAUUGUAUGGUGGUGGAAACAUUUUAUUGGCCAUU